This 1692-nucleotide long non-coding RNA is filed under the name Strigops habroptila (Kakapo). RNAcentral's name for it is "lncRNA (ENSSHBG00005001635.1)". The record is from RNAcentral. Lineage: Eukaryota; Metazoa; Chordata; Aves; Psittaciformes; Psittacidae.
UGGCUUUCAAAGACUUUAUUGUUGAAUGGACGACUUCACUACAAUUUCUUUCCCUUCCUGAGGGCCUGUGGAGCCACUGCCUCCCCUCCCCAGUCCCAGAGCCUUUGGAGAGUGCAGGCACUGAGGGGGACAGUGCAGCAGUGGUGGACGAUCAAGCUUUACAAAGACAUCCCCAUCGUGAAUUCCAGCAAAAAGCCAGCCGGAGUGGUGCAAUCUUUCCGUUUGUGAAAUGAACAGGACAGUUCUCUAGGACACAGCUUUCUCCUCCAUCUCUGCUGGCUUUCUCUGCACAGCACCAGCUACAUGGAAGACAAUCUGGGGCAAAAUUUUCAAAGCAUUCACAUCUUUCCAACAAAGAACGCAGGCACUUAGUCCCGUGUCCACAGAGGCAGCGAGGCUCUUCAGUCACCUCCUGUUCAAAGGGACACCAGACACCUUGAAGCCAUUGUGGACCUGAGCCUUAAAUGCUUAAUCUCAUACAUCAGUUGAUGGGAAUGUGGAGUCCUAGGCACUUCUGUGCUUCUGAAAAUUUUACCUCAGUUAAUCCUGGCCAGGGAAACCAAAGCCCUGAAGUUCCUAAAAUCUUAAUUAAGGCAGAGUUCAAAAUGGGUCUGUCCCACUUCUUCCCUAAAGUAUGGUUUCUAGGGUAAAAACCUAUCAUUGCAUUUGGAAGCAUUGAAAAACUUCAUUUCAAGUGGUUCUGAAAUCCUAACAUCCUCAUGGCAGUGAUGGUGUUAACAUUUGCCCAUUGAGCAGCGAGCAGGGAGAGACUUGGCCCUGACCAGUAACAUGGAUUACAGCAAAACCUCGUAAAGUACAGUCACAGCAAGGAAAGAAGGUCCCUGCAGCACAGAUUUGCCAGUCUGACUAAUCAAAACAGGCAUUCAAGGCAGAAGAGAAUUCUCAUUUUAGCAAAAAGACUAACCAGCUCUCCAGUCUUGGAUUCAGUCUGUAUUUAGAAAAAAGUAAAGAAAAAAUGAUGGACAGAACUGUCCUAAUUUCACACAUUGUACUCCAGAGGUUCAAGAGAAACACUUCCUCCCCCCUCCCCCCCUUUUUUUUUUCCCUAAUGUGUAUCUCUGGAUGAAAUUCAGCACCCUUGCAUUAGCGAAGGCAGCAGGUGAAACAGCUACCUUUAGAGAGCUUGAUUCCGGGACCUGCGUGCAGACCUCUUUGCUCCUAUUUAGGUUAGUAGGAAUCAAGAGUGCUGAGCAGGAAGAAGCAGCCUCAGCUCUACUGUGUUACUACUUGACAGUACAAUAAAGAUAAGUUAUUUUAAAGAUAAGAUACAUCGCAGCAUGAGAAUUCACUGCAACAUACUCUGCUGUUGAAUCACUGCCAAGAAGCAUAACUCCACCGAGUUUUGCGCUACUUCACUGACACCAGCUAUGAACCCUAAUUCCUUCUAGGAACCUAGUAAAACAUUCAAGAGCUGCCUGCUGAAAUGCAUCCUUAACAUAUAAAGGUCACAGGUGUGUAACUGAAGUGGAGCAGAGAUUCCCACUGGGUGAUCCCUACCAAAACCAUCAAGUGUGGCCCCAAAUGUGCUCAGAGCAGGGCUGACACGUGGCAAGCAAGGUGCAUUUUUAAAGAGUUACAGAGUAAGACCCAACUUCCUGUCCAAAUAACACUUCUUAAAAUAAACUGGCCCCAAAUUAUCCUCCAAUCUUUUAAGAUAGCUCAAUAUUUCUA